AGCGAACGCUGGCGGCAGGCUUAACACAUGCGAGUCGAGCGGGCAUCCUUGUGGUGUCAGCGGCAGACGGGUGAGUAACGCGUGGGAACGUGCCCUUCGGUUCGGAAUAACUCAGGGAAACUUGAGCUAAUACCGGAUACGUGCGAGAGCAGAAAGGUUUAUCUGCCGAAGGAUCGGCCCGCGUCUGAUUAGCUAGUUGGUGAGGUUAUGGCUCACCAAGGCGACGAUCAGUAGCUGGUCUGAGAGGAUGAUCAGCCACACUGGGACUGAGACACGGCCCAGACUCCUACGGGAGGCAGCAGUGGGGAAUAUUGGACAAUGGGGGCAACCCUGAUCCAGCCAUGCCGCGUGAGUGAUGGCGGCCUUAGGGUUGUAAAGCUCUUUUCUCCGGGACGAUAAUGACGGUACCGGAGGAAUAAGCCCCGGCUAACUUCGUG
This 437-nucleotide ribosomal RNA is filed under the name uncultured bacterium. RNAcentral describes it as "partial 16S ribosomal RNA". It matches the Rfam family "Bacterial small subunit ribosomal RNA", at positions 29 to 507 of the family's 1533-position model. The record is from RNAcentral.